This 200-nucleotide ribosomal RNA is filed under the name uncultured bacterium. Its description in RNAcentral is "partial 16S ribosomal RNA". It matches the Rfam family "Bacterial small subunit ribosomal RNA", at positions 1 to 203 of the family's 1533-position model. The record is from RNAcentral.
UAUUAGAGUUUGAUCAUGGCUCAGGACGAACGCUGGCGGCGUGCUUAACACAUGCAAGUCGAGCGGUAAGGCCCCUUCGGGGGUACACGAGCGGCGAACGGGUGAGUAACACGUGAGCAAUCUGCCCUCCACAUCGGGAUACCCCCCGGAAACGGGAGCUAAUACCGGAUACGACCACCUCAGGCAUCUGAUGGUGGGUC